This 467-nucleotide ribosomal RNA is filed under the name uncultured bacterium. RNAcentral describes it as "partial 16S ribosomal RNA". It matches the Rfam family "Bacterial small subunit ribosomal RNA", at positions 28 to 523 of the family's 1533-position model. The record is from RNAcentral.
GAUGAAUGCUGGCGGCGUGCCUAACACAUGCAAGUCGAGCGGCAGCGCGAGUAGUUUACUACUUGGCGGCGAGCGGCGGACGGCUGAGUAACGCGUGGGAAUAUGCCCCAAAGUGAGGAAUAACUGCCCGAAAGGGUAGCUAAUGCCGCAUAUGAUCUUCGGAUUAAAGGAUUUAUCCGUCUUGGGAGUAGCCUGUGUACGAUUAGGUAGUUGGUAGGGUAAUGGCCUACCAAGCCGACGAUCGUUAGCUGGUCUGAGAGGAUGACCAGCCAGACUGGAACUGAGACACGGUCCAGACUCCUACGGGAGGCAGCAGUGAGGAAUCUUCCACAAUGGGCGAAAGCCUGAUGGAGCAACGCCGCGUGCAGGAUGAAGGCCUUCGGGUUGUAAACUGCUUUUAUAAGUGAAGAAUAUGACGGUAACUUAUGAAUAAGCACCGGCUAACUACGUGCCAGCCGCCGCUGUAA